GCGUCAUCACCGGGGAUGAACAACUUUUGUCACGUGACCGCAAAAGUCAACGCCGGUUGCAGAAACAGAUUGUAAUCUUGUACAUUAAGAAACAUGACGCUCGUGUGUGAAAUCUGUGGAAAGACAUUUAAAUCGAAGUGGGGGUUAAAGCUUCAUGAUAAGCGCCACAGAGGGACUGGACGAUUCGCCUGUUGUGGAAAAACAUUUUACACAAAACAGGCGUUCAACAGACACAGAUGCAGCAUUCAUGGUGUUGAAAAGCCGUUCCCCUGUGAACAAUGCGGCAAAAAGUUUUCAACCAAAGAUGACCUGAAUCGUCACGUCCGGAGGGAGGUUGCUGCAAAGCAAUUUACCUGCUCAAUUUGCAAUGCAACGCUCCGGGAGAAAAUUGACCUUCAGGCCCACCUUGCCACCCACAAUGGAGAGAAAAACUUUGCUUGUGAUAUGUGUGAAAAGAGGUACAGGCACCGCAGUAGUCUAUCAAAGCACAGAUCUGCAAAGCACCGGGCCUAGUCAUCUGUUGCAUGACGAUGAUAAGACCAAGAAUUAUUUUUAAUUCUUACCAAUGUGCCGUGGUUAUUUUCUUAAUUAUUGAAAAUACAGACUGUCAUACAAUAAUAUAUAGUAUUACGCGUGUUUUUGCGUCUUAAACAUUGUGUUUCAUAUCGUUUAUCUUGUGUUGUUUUGUUUGAUAUUCCUGUUUUUAAUAAGAUUAUUGUUGUAAUAUUUAUCAUUCUAAUUUAAAAUGAUUAUGAUAAUGGUUGAUCUCAUACAAAUUAUUGUGUUCAUUAUUGCUCAUCUGUGAUUACUGUUGAUCUCAGCCCAUGAAUUGUGAUUUAUAUUGAUUAUCUGUGAUUAUUGUUGAUCUUAUCAAAAUAAUUGUAAUUUAUGUUGAUUAUCUGUGAAUUUUUUAUCUUAACCUAUUAAUAGUGAUUUAUAUUAUCUGUGAUUAUUGUUGAUCUUAUCAAAAUCAUUGUGAUUUAUGUUGAUUAUCUGUGAUUAUUGUUGAUCUCAACCGAUUAAUUGUGAUUUAUAUAACCAGUGAUUAUUGUUGAUCUUUUCAAAAUCAUUGUAAUUUAUGUUGAUUAUCUGUGAUUAUUGUUGAUCUUUUCGAAAUCAUUGUAAUUUAUGUUGAUUAUCUGUGAUUAUUGUUGAUCUUUUCAAAAUCAUUGUAAUCUAUGUUGAUUAUCUGUGAUUAUUGUUGAUCUUUUCAAAAUCAUUGUAAUUAAUGUUGAUUAUCUGUGAUUAUUGUUGAUCUUUUCAAAAUCAUUGUAAUUUAUGUUGAUUAUCUGUGAUUAUUGUUGAUCUUUUCGAAAUCAUUGUAAUUUAUGUUGAUUAUCUGUGAUUAUUGUUGAUCUUUUCAAAAUCAUUGUAAUCUAUGUUGAUUAUCUGUGAUUAUUGUUGAUCUUUUCAAAAUCAUUGUAAUCUAUGUUGAUUAUCUGUGAUUAUUGUUGAUCUUUUCAAAAUCAUUGUAAUUAAUGUUGAUUAUCUGUGAUUAUUGUUGAUCUUUUCAAAAUCAUUGUAAUUUAUGUUGAUUAUCUGUGAUUAUUGUUGAUCUUUUCAAAAUCAUUGUAAUUAAUGUUGAUUAUCUGUGAUUAUUGUUGAUCUUUUCAAAAUCAUUGUAAUCUAUGUUGAUUAUCUGUGAUUAUUGUUGAUCUUUUCAAAAUCAUUGUAAUUAAUGUUGAUUAUCUGUGAUUAUUGUUGAUCUUUUCAAAAUCAUUGUAAUUUAUGUUGAUUAUCUGUGAUUAUUGUUGAUCUCACCAUAUCCGCUGGAAUAUACAUUUGAGCCGCGCUCUGUGAAAAGGGGGUUUAAUGCAUGUGCGUAAAGUGCAGUCCACAUAGGCUAAUCAGGGACGGCACUUUCCGCUUUUAUGAUAUGUUUUGUUAAAAGAAAGUCUCUUCUGAGCAAAAAUCGAGUUUAUCGGAAAGGUUUGUCCCUAAUUAGCCUGUACGGAAUGCACAGGCUAAUAUGUGACGACACCUUACGCACAUGCAUUAAACCCCCUUUUCACAGAGCGAGACUCAUUUGUAAUCUGCGAUUUUUGUUUAUCUAUUUCGAAUCAAUAUGAUUAAAAUAUAUUUUUGGUGAGUUAGCUUUUUGUCUCAUUGGAAUCAUUGUGCGAAUUGUCAACAAUUACAUGUAAAUCUGUAAUUCCUUCUCAAGUUGCACAUAGGCCAGUUUAAUGUUUUGCGUAUAAGCUAUUAUUGCGAUACGGGAUAUUCUUUGCAGCAAUAAAACAAUUAAUCUGCA
Long non-coding RNA from Dreissena polymorpha, 2251 nucleotides. RefSeq lists it as uncharacterized. The transcript is spliced from 3 exons. Lineage: Eukaryota; Metazoa; Mollusca; Bivalvia; Myida; Dreissenidae. The record is from RefSeq and is a predicted model, not a curated record.